RNAcentral lists this long non-coding RNA (1056 nucleotides) under Ficedula albicollis (Collared flycatcher). Its description in RNAcentral is "lncRNA (ENSFALG00000023010.1)". Lineage: Eukaryota; Metazoa; Chordata; Aves; Passeriformes; Muscicapidae. The record is from RNAcentral.
AUGGUGCCCAGGCAGGACAGGGAUACCAUGGUGCCCCUUCUCCGUCCAGGCUCAGCAUCCCGCUGUCCCCUACACACGGAGCGGCUCUGUCCCCACCUCACUGCCACAGGGGGUCCCAGAAAGGCACCUCCUCGGCUAUCCCCUCCUCACAAGGCACCCCAGACCCAUCUCCUGUCACCCAGGGCACUGCCAACACACCAGAGCCCCUUCACCCUCCACAGGACACCCCUAAAGCCCCCAGGGCAGCUCCCCCUUCCAUCGAGGAACUGCUCCCUUCCACCCCAGGGCACACAAUUCUGCUCCCCUCUGGGGCUGCCCCUCUCCAUCUGGGGUGACCCUCCCCACUGCCACAUGACCCCACCUUCACUGCCACACGAUGGUCCCCCUCCUCAGCAAGGAUCCCACAUCUUCAGGGAGAUCUCCAUGCCACAAGGCACCCCAGUUCCUCCCUGCACCAGGGAACCCCCAAGGCUAAUCCCCCAACCCAGAAAGGCACCUUUGGUCUUGUUCCCCCUCUUCCAGGGCACCCCAGAAAAGUACCCCGGGGCUGAUCCUGUACCCCAGAGAGGCUCCUCCAGGGCCCCCAGCACAAUGUCCCUCACCUAUGCCUCCCCAGCAGAGCUGCUCGGGGCCAACUCACUCCACCCAGCAUCCCCCACUGUCCCCCACCCUGGGCAUCCUAGAAAGGUUCCGGAUGUCCCCCAACACAGACACCCCCGAAAGUCUCCCCCGGGACCCCCCCCCCUCCCCCGGGAGAGCCUGUUCACUGAGAGUAUCCCAGACAGGCUCCCCGGGUGUCCCCCACCCAAAGCACCCCAUCAAGGCCUCUCAGGGUCACCGCCCUCCACCCCGGGCACCCCAGAAAGGCUCUCCCCGGGGUCAGCCCUCUCCACCCAGCUCCCCCCACCAGAGCUCCCGGUCCCCCGCACCCACCGGCCAGGUGCCAGCCCUUCCUGCGCCCGCAGCGGCCGCAGCCGUGGGCCCCCCCCCCCCCCCCCCCCCCCCCCCCCCCCCCCCCCCCCCCCCCCCCCCCCCCCCCCCCCCCCCCCCCCCCCC